Molecule: long non-coding RNA, 483 nt
Organism: Halichondria panicea
Lineage: Eukaryota; Metazoa; Porifera; Demospongiae; Suberitida; Halichondriidae
Exons: 2
Source: RefSeq, a predicted model, not a curated record
GCUUUCUUUUUUUGCCCUUUUUUUGGGUGGCUCAGCUGUUUAAUGAAUGUGUGCAUGUGUGUUAAAUAAUAACCAAAAACAAUAGUUUGUUUAUUUAAUGUGACGAUUAUUAACGUUAUACUUGUUUCAUUCUCAGGAGUUUUUUGGCCGGAGUGCCCUGGUGAAUCUGGCUGAAUCUGACUUCCAUCUGCACAAAAUGAUUGUAGGGUAAGGGUCAGGGUCAGGGUCGGAGUCAGUGUCUAGGGCGGCUUCAGUGACCGAGUUUCCUGAAUCUAAGAGAGUGAUGGGUGUGGAAGCUGGCCUAUGCCCAAGAAUGCAGUCCAACUCUUUGUAAAAUUUGCACUGUUUCCUUCCAUUGCCAGUUUUGUUAUUGUGAUCUUUGAUUUCUUUGUAGCUUGUUUUAAGGUUUUUAACUUUAGAACGGCACUGUUUCCAAUCCCUGGUGUGUCCUUGUUUUUGCAAUUUUUUUGCAAUUUUUUCAUA